Grus americana (Whooping crane) is the source of this 4114-nucleotide RNA transcript. RefSeq lists it as uncharacterized. The transcript is spliced from 2 exons. The record is from RefSeq and is a predicted model, not a curated record. NCBI's taxonomy places the organism in Eukaryota, Metazoa, Chordata, Aves, Gruiformes, Gruidae.
AAACAGGUCUCUUUUUGCAGCCAGGGAAGCAUUUCUCCACUUGCUCCACAGCUUGCCUUGUGGCAGCUUCACGGGAACACUUAAGGAUGCAGUGGAGUGCUUGGCUGGACCAGCCCAUGACUUCCAGAUGUUGUUGUUCACCUGCUGCAGAGCAAAUGACGGACCUCCUCCCUCCACCCCACGCUUUUGAAGAAAUGCGUGCGUAUGUGUGCGGUGCCCAGCACUCCCCUACGGCUGCGAACCACAGCGCUCUUGCGCUGAAGCAUCAGCUGCACAGGCUGCUUUCGAUGAGCUGGAAAAGAGGGCGAGCUCAUUUGACUGUGCACAGGAGACACACGUGUCACUGGCACGUUCUUGCACCUAUUUUUGUCUCCUCCUUGGAGGAGACACGUAUCCUUGCUCUUAAGCAAGUGCUGCUCUCUUCCUUGCAAAUACCAGGGUGGAUCUCUGCUCCUGGGAGGACGUUUCGGUGCAUCCCAUCGGGAGGUGACAGCUCAGUAUCAGGGGAAAUGGGACUGUGCUGGAAGUCCCUGCCUGUUGGACAUGGCAGGCUUUUGGGGGUGUGUGUCACAUCGUAUGUUGGAAGUUGACACAUAGCUGGAUGUAGAAAUCUUGGCUUUCCCGGAGGCCUGGGUCUUCCCUGGGGCUGCUGCUCUGUCUCCUCGCAUUUCUGGGGAGAGGAAGCUGCGGCUAACCUCACCGCGAACACAAAUUAGUUGUUUUUUGUUGCUUUUUGGGUUGGGGUUUUUUUUUUUUUGAAUUUGUGUGUUCAGUUCGAACAAUAAAACAUCUGUUCCUGAGCACAGCAGCUGGACCAAACUGAAAUGACGUUAGCAUCAAUUAUCCUCUGGGAUGGGGAGAACGGUGCAGAUGAUUGCCUUAACACUGAAUAACAAAAGAGACCAACAGCUUGGCUAGGUGGCUCGUGUUCCCGGGGAGUCUCCAAACACCCCACCUGCUCGAGCCCUCCCGUUGGGGCGCCCGCUGUUGUGCACGGCUGCUCCGGGUACCAACCAUCGGCCAUGGGGUGAAUGGAGGAGAUGCUUUUGCAAUGACUGGAGAAUGAGACCUAUUUUUGGUGGGAGGGCUUAUGGAUACGGCGGUGGCAGAGAUUUUUCUGAAUGCACCGAUCCAAUACAAAUAACCCUGGUACAAAAUCAAAGUGGUUUUUUGCGGGGAGGGCUGCAGGGAUGAAGGUGCACCCACCUCUUGUGGGGCCAGCCGGGAUAUCGGCUGUGGUGGGCGCAGGCAGCCAGCCUGGAGCGGAGCUGGGGUUCGCAGCGGGAUGGGAUGAUGCAGAAUCACGUUCCCUGGGUACAGAAAGGGGCUAUUAACGGGGAGAAAGGAGGGGGAGCGAUGGAGCACAAUGGCUCUGAUUUGUUGGCAGUCGAGACCUACAGUCCCUGGCAGCACCUCAAAGCAGCUGUGAAGUGCCAGUCGGUGGCGAUGCUUCGGCGCGUGAUGCGGGCGCCUGACCCUGGUGUAAGGCUGGGACACGGGCUGCGCGGUGGGGAGGGCACCGACCCGGCUUCUCCUCCCUGGGGCCCUGCCGAGGAAACCCAAGCGUGCUUGUGAUGGGCUGAGCGCGCCAGAGACAUGGUGGCUUUGCUUUCCAGGGUUCUCCUCAAACGCAUCUGUCCUACUAACCACACCUGGCUAAAUUUUAUCUCUUAUAGGACUGCGCGCAUGCACACACACACACACAAAAAAAAUCCUCUCAUCCCAUCCUGAACAAGCUCCCUAGAAGAAGGUUAUUUCCCCACAUCCUGGUAGCACAGAGAAAAACCGUGACUGUGGGAAAACUCAAGAAAAUUAUCAAGAACUAGCAUUUUUAUGAACGAGCUGCUUUAUACCUGCACAGCCAGAUGCCUGAAUAACUUAAUGAAAGCGAGUGUUUGGGGUGAGCAGCAGCGGGGGGAAGAGCCCGUUUGGGAAUAACAGCUUGCUCCGAAAACCCAACAGCAUCAAGCACCCGUUUUGUUUGGCUUCUUCCUUGAACGUCGUGGGUACCACCAUGGGACAGUGUGUCCGCGAUGCACGCGUGUCCCGGGCUCUGAUGCUGUACGUCCGCACACCCGGGUGCACUCCGGCGCUGCGGCUCUCGCAGGAGCAUCACCCACAUCACCCAGCAAAGACAUUGCUGAGACAACCCCCUUGCUUCCUUGCCCGAGCCGUUUUACUCUCAUCCCUUAUUGCCUUUGGCCUCCAGCCUUGGUUUUAUCAGCAAGCCACACUGGGCCAAAACCACCCCAGGUGUCACGUCCGAUGUGCAUCGCCUCUCUGCUCAGAGUCUGGGCUCCUGCCCUGGCCCCUCCUACCAGAAAACAGAGUCCAGCUGGGGAAAAAAAAAAAAAUCCCCAAAAUCCUCACUCCGAAGAGGCUUGGCAGAAUUAGGAGCAAAAGUAAAGGAAGCUUUGGCUUUAAAAAGAAUAAAAAAAAAAUAAAUCACUUUUUGUCCCAAAGCAACUGAACUUACCCCAGUAUGUGUAAUUUUUUUUGUUAUUUUAUGUACUGUACUUCAGCCUGUUUUCUCAAGCCUUACAAAAGUGCAUGUGUCGUCAUCCUGUUUGCCUGUCCCUUCCCUCACUAACAUGCUGAACCGGCUGAUUUUGGGUAGAUCUGGCAAAAAGACAUUAACUUCUCCCCAAUAUUCAGGUCUUUCUGGCUGCAGGAAAACAGGCACCAGUGCUGGGGGCUGGGCUGAUUACAAAGAGAGAGAGGCUCGUUGGGUCCCUGUUUUCCCGAAAAUUCCUGGCUGGUAGUGACCCCAUCAGCUGGAGCAUCGGGCAGCCGGGGAGGUGUCCGAGUCGGCAUGUGGCAGCCUGGAGGGGAAGGGGAGCGAUCCAGGAUGCCCCGGGCAGGACGGGGGCGGGCAAUGGAUUUAAUAAGAAAAGCUCCCCCCCUGCACACCCCCAAGGCUGGCUUAGGGAAGAGUUCGUCAGCCAGAUGCAAAACUUGGUAAUUCCUUGGUGCCGGGGUGAGGAGGGCUGUGCUGAGAGGCCGGGGGUGCGUGCGGGAUGGGGCUACCCUGACUCCGGGCAUCUCUUCCCAUCCCAGCCUGGCAGCAGGAACAGCCUGGAGAGCCCCUCUGAUGCACCGGGAUCUGGAGGGAUGGAGACAAGAUGAAGGCUGAGGUCCUUGCAGCCUGCCUGAUUCUCCAGUGAUCCACCCGCAAUCUCGGGUUUCUUCUUCUGACGCAGUUUGCAGUGGCCGGCUUUUCCCAACCUGCUUGGUAAUCCUAAGUAAGAGGCGGCAGCUGCCUGCCCGUCUCUGGAGGAGCUGGACUUUAAUCCCUACCUACGGCGCUGGUGCUCUGGCUCCCUGUGAGCUGUCUUACAUCUGCAAGGACUGAGCCUCCCGUGCAUCACUCGCGCCUGUCCAGGGCAAAAUGUGCCCUGAGGGGUGGGGGGGGCGGUGGGGAACAGGGUUUUGUGGUCACCAGGUAAGGAGCCAGUGGGGCAGGGCUGGGAUAUACAGCAGCCGCCUACGGAUCAUCACCCGGAGCAGGCUUUGGAGAGCGGGAUGGGACAGAAAAUGCUGAACAAGGCGCAGGAGGAGCACGAGGCAUGUGCAAUGCGUCCGCCUGCCUAGGAAAAGGAGGUGGGGUAGGGGAAGAAGGGGAAAAAAGCAAGGCAGGGGCAGCGCGCUGCCUGCCGCAUGGCACCUGAGACACCGGCGGGGUGCUGGGUGGGCAGUGACCGGGUGAGGGAUGCACAGCUCUGCCUCCCCCGGGCACCUCUGCACUGUACCUCUUCCUGCUGCCAGGGUAGGGCAUAGCCUCAGGCUGGGGCUAAAAAUGUCGUAAUGACAUCUGCAUCCCACUUCGGUGGGGGUUUUGUGCUCUGCAGGGCUCCGGGUCAGCCCCGCUCGCUAAGGCGGGGGGCUCCUCCACCCUCAAGCCGGACUCAGCAUCGCUGCCUCGGGCAGCUCGGGGGGGCUGCGGGACCGGGAGCUCUCCUCCCCCUGGAACUCCUCACCCCUUCAUUUCAACACACCCCUCCACCUCCAGCUUGUUUGCACAGCUCACAAUGUUCCGAGCAUUAUCAGUGUUUGCCCUGUUACCACUGUUUGUGCUAGUUGCACUUUAAAGGCAAUAAAGUCAAGCUUUGUGUGC